UGGCGGCGUNNCUAACGCAUGNAAGUCGAACGGGGGACUGAGGAGCAAUCUGAGGUUCCUAGUGGCAAACGGGUGAGUAACACGUAGGUAAUCUACCUUGGAGUGGGGAACAACGGACCGAAAGGUUCGCUAAUACCGCAUGUGGUCGUGAGACCAAAGCCUUCGGGCGCUCUGAGAGGAGCCUGCGGUCGAUCAGGUAGUUGGUGGGGUAACGGCCUACCAAGCCGGGGACCGGUAGCUGAUCUGAGAGGAUGACCAGCCACACUGGCACUGAGACACGGGCCAGACUCCUACGGGAGGCAGCAGCGAGGAAUAUUGCACAAUGGAGGCAACUCUGAUGCAGUAGCGCCGCGUGAGGGAAGAAGAUUUUCGGAUUGUAAACCUC
This 385-nucleotide ribosomal RNA is filed under the name uncultured bacterium. RNAcentral describes it as "bacterial SSU rRNA". It matches the Rfam family "Bacterial small subunit ribosomal RNA", at positions 37 to 433 of the family's 1533-position model. The record is from RNAcentral.